Molecule: long non-coding RNA, 545 nt
Organism: Orcinus orca (killer whale)
Lineage: Eukaryota; Metazoa; Chordata; Mammalia; Artiodactyla; Delphinidae
Exons: 2
Source: RefSeq, a predicted model, not a curated record
CACCCGAACCCUCGGGCUGCAUGGGGUGGCAGGUUAGCCUUCCCAGGGCAGAGGGACUGGAGGUGGACAGGACGACCAGGAGACUUGCAGGCGUCCUGGCAGCGUGGAAACGAAAAAUGGACAGAUUAUAUAGAAGGCGGAAGUCAGGAAACAAAGCAGCAGAGGAGACGGGUGAGGGGAGACCACGAAGAAUGGUGAUGGACAGGAACCCACUCCGAGGAGACGCCCAGGGGACACAGGUUUGAGCCCUGGUCCGGGAAGAUGCCAUGGAGCAACUAAGCCGCGGAGCAACUACGCCCAUGUGCCACAAUUACUGAGCCUGCACUCUAGAGCCCGCAAGCCACAACCACUGAGCCCACGUGUCACAACUACUGAAGCAUGCGCACCUAGAACCUGUGCUCUGCAACAAGAGAAACCACGACAAUGAGAAGCCGCCGCAUCACAACAGAGUAGCCCCCGCUCGCCGCAACUAGAGAAAGCCCGUGCACAGCAACGAAGACCCAACGCAGCCAAAAAUAAAUAAAUAAAUAAAAAACAAACAAACA